UACGUAUGGUGCAAGCGUUAUCCGGAUUUACUGGGUGUAAAGGGAGCGCAGGCGGCGCGUUAAGCCUGGUGUGAAAGCCCGCGGCCCAACCGCGGGACUGCAUUGGGAACUGGCGCGCUGGAGUGCCGGAGGGGUAGGCGGAAUUCCUAGUGUAGCGGUGAAAUGCGUAGAUAUUAGGAGGAACACCAGUGGCGAAGGCGGCCUACUGGACGGUGACUGACGCUGAGGCUCGAAAGCGUGGGGAGCAAACAGG
Molecule: ribosomal RNA, 253 nt
Filed under: uncultured bacterium
Lineage: Bacteria
Description: partial 16S ribosomal RNA
Rfam family: Bacterial small subunit ribosomal RNA
Source: RNAcentral